UAUUAAAUAUUCCACCCAUUUAUACUAUUAAAAACUGGCAUGGCUAACAAAAACACCAAAUAGUGACAUGUGACAUGUCACGUACACCUUAGGCUGACGUACAGGGACUAACUUUUAACAGCAAAAUGGAUGAAAUUUUUAACA
Gossypium raimondii (Peruvian cotton) is the source of this 144-nucleotide non-coding RNA. The record is from Rfam. NCBI's taxonomy places the organism in Eukaryota, Viridiplantae, Streptophyta, Magnoliopsida, Malvales, Malvaceae.